Gallus gallus (chicken) is the source of this 885-nucleotide long non-coding RNA. NCBI's taxonomy places the organism in Eukaryota, Metazoa, Chordata, Aves, Galliformes, Phasianidae. The record is from Ensembl.
CACCUGGAACUUUCCAGAGUGAAUUCAGAGUAAUAAUAAUAACUGCUUCUUACUGUGAUAAAAAAUGGGAUUUAGGGCUUGGAAAGGAUUCUUGGGUGUUAGAAUCCAACAUGCUUAUACUACUAGUUACUAUACACAUCAUCUAUUUACUUUCCCACUAUUUCAGUAGUAUAAUGUAAAAAUGUUUUGAUCUUAUGGUAAACAUGCUGGAGUGGAAGUAUAUUUAGUAUGGAAGCAGUAACCAGAGGACCUUCAUGAAAUUAUCCACUACACAGCUGUCAUAUACGCAGGGACUAAAAGACAUGGCAAGCCUAGCAGAUUUUCCUUUAUGGAGACAAGGCAUUACAGAGUGGGAAAAGAAGUCCGAUUUGUAGAUGCGGGAAUUGUGUACAGCUGAACUGGCAUUUCUUUGUGUAGAGAACAAGAGUUACACUGCUGACAUCAAACCUGCAGUCAUCACAGCUGGGAGGGACAAUGACAAACUUCAGGUGCCUGCCUCUUCUUCCACUCUUCUCAUCUUUCAGAAGAGGUUCUUACUGGCAGACUAUUUACAUUUUAUCUCUAUGCUCAGCCAAGAGCAGAAGCCUAAUUGCAGACACAUCAUUCUAAAAGAAGUUGUUCUCAUGCUAUCUCUGAGCUGGCAGAAGGAAAUGAACACUGGAAAACUCAUAAGAAAGUCUGAUCAUGUAACCGUUCCAGCCUUAUUUCCAGACCAAAGAGGUUUGGACAAGUUUUGAUUAAGCAGACUAAUUUUUGGAUGCUUAUCUGACCUGAACAAUCUGAAUUUUCUGUGGUUCAGUGCUGGUUGAUACUCAUUUGAGGAGCUGUUGGCACUUCUAUGCGUACAGUUAAAAAAUAAAAAUAAAAUAAAAUAAAUCUUUCAUC